CGACCAUAGCGCUUUGGACCCACCUGACUCCAUGCCGAACUCAGUAGUGAAACGAAGCAGCGCCGAUGGUAGUGUGGGGUCUCCCCAUGUGAGAGUAGGACAUCGCCAGGC
This 111-nucleotide ribosomal RNA is filed under the name Salinivibrio sp. VYel7. The record is from RNAcentral. RNAcentral also lists the same sequence under 5 other names. Lineage: Bacteria; Pseudomonadati; Pseudomonadota; Gammaproteobacteria; Vibrionales; Vibrionaceae.